AGAGUUUGAUCAUGGCUCAGAUUGAACGCUGGCGGCAGGCCUAACACAUGCAAGUCGAGCGGUAGCACAGAGAGCUUGCUCUCGGGUGACGAGCGGCGGACGGGUGAGUAAUGUCUGGGAAACUGCCUGAUGGAGGGGGAUAACUACUGGAAACGGUAGCUAAUACCGCAUAAUGUCGCAAGACCAAAGUGGGGGACCUUCGGGCCUCAUGCCAUCAGAUGUGCCCAGAUGGGAUUAGCUAGUAGGUGGGGUAACGGCUCACCUAGGCGACGAUCCCUAGCUGGUCUGAGAGGAUGACCAGCCACACUGGAACUGAGACACGGUCCAGACUCCUACGGGAGGCAGCAGUGGGGAAUAUUGCACAAUGGGCGCAAGCCUGAUGCAGCCAUGCCGCGUGUGUGAAGAAGGCCUUCGGGUUGUAAAGCACUUUCAGCGGGGAGGAAGGCGGUGAGAUUAAUAACCUCAUCGAUUGACGUUACCCGCAGAAGAAGCACCGGCUAACUCCGUGCCAGCAGCCGCGGUAAUACGGAGGGUGCAAGCGUUAAUCGGAAUUACUGGGCGUAAAGCGCACGCAGGCGGUCUGUCAAGUCGGAUGUGAAAUCCCCGGGCUCAACCUGGGAACUGCAUUCGAAACUGGCAGGCUAGAGUCUUGUAGAGGGGGGUAGAAUUCCAGGUGUAGCGGUGAAAUGCGUAGAGAUCUGGAGGAAUACCGGUGGCGAAGGCGGCCCCCUGGACAAAGACUGACGCUCAGGUGCGAAAGCGUGGGGAGCAAACAGGAUUAGAUACCCUGGUAGUCCACGCCGUAAACGAUGUCGAUUUGGAGGUUGUGCCCUUGAGGCGUGGCUUCCGGAGCUAACGCGUUAAAUCGACCGCCUGGGGAGUACGGCCGCAAGGUUAAAACUCAAAUGAAUUGACGGGGGCCCGCACAAGCGGUGGAGCAUGUGGUUUAAUUCGAUGCAACGCGAAGAACCUUACCUGGUCUUGACAUCCACAGAACUUUCCAGAGAUGGAUUGGUGCCUUCGGGAACUGUGAGACAGGUGCUGCAUGGCUGUCGUCAGCUCGUGUUGUGAAAUGUUGGGUUAAGUCCCGCAACGAGCGCAACCCUUAUCCUUUGUUGCCAGCGGUUCGGCCGGGAACUCAAAGGAGACUGCCAGUGAUAAACUGGAGGAAGGUGGGGAUGACGUCAAGUCAUCAUGGCCCUUACGACCAGGGCUACACACGUGCUACAAUGGCAUAUACAAAGAGAAGCGACCUCGCGAGAGCAAGCGGACCUCAUAAAGUAUGUCGUAGUCCGGAUUGGAGUCUGCAACUCGACUCCAUGAAGUCGGAAUCGCUAGUAAUCGUAGAUCAGAAUGCUACGGUGAAUACGUUCCCGGGCCUUGUACACACCGCCCGUCACACCAUGGGAGUGGGUUGCAAAAGAAGUAGGUAGCUUAACCUUCGGGAGGGCGCUUACCACUUUGUGAUUCAUGACUGGGGUGAAGUCGUAACAAGGUAACCGUAGGGGAACCUGCGGUUGGAUCACCU
This 1528-nucleotide ribosomal RNA is filed under the name Klebsiella pneumoniae. RNAcentral's name for it is "bacterial SSU rRNA". It matches the Rfam family "Bacterial small subunit ribosomal RNA". Lineage: Bacteria; Pseudomonadati; Pseudomonadota; Gammaproteobacteria; Enterobacterales; Enterobacteriaceae. The record is from RNAcentral.